This 253-nucleotide ribosomal RNA is filed under the name uncultured bacterium. RNAcentral's name for it is "partial 16S ribosomal RNA". It matches the Rfam family "Bacterial small subunit ribosomal RNA", at positions 524 to 776 of the family's 1533-position model. The record is from RNAcentral.
UACGUAGGGGGCAAGCGUUGUCCGGAAUCAUUGGGCGUAAAGCGCGUGUAGGCGGCCCGAUAAGUCCGCUGUGAAAGUCUAGGGCUCAACCCUGGAAUGCCGGUGGAUACUGUCGGGCUCGAGUCCGGAAGAGGCGAGUGGAAUUCCUGGUGUAGCGGUGAAAUGCGCAGAUAUCAGGAGGAACACCGGUGGCGAAGGCGACUUCCUGGACACCAACUGACGCUGAGACGCGAAAGCGUGGGGAGCAAACAGG